GAUGAACGCUAGCGGCAGGCUUAAUACAUGCAAGUCGUGGGGCAGCGCAGUGUAGCAAUACAUGGGCGGCGACCGGCAAACGGGUGCGGAACACGUACGCAACCUUCCUUCAAGUGGGGAAUAGCCCAGAGAAAUUUGGAUUAAUACCCCGUAAUAUUGUGAAAUGGCAUCAUUUUAUAAUUAUAGCUACGGCGCUUGAAGAUGGGCGUGCGCCUGAUUAGGUAGUUGGCGGGG
RNAcentral lists this ribosomal RNA (234 nucleotides) under uncultured Flavisolibacter sp. RNAcentral describes it as "partial small subunit ribosomal RNA". It matches the Rfam family "Bacterial small subunit ribosomal RNA", at positions 28 to 257 of the family's 1533-position model. Lineage: Bacteria; Pseudomonadati; Bacteroidota; Chitinophagia; Chitinophagales; Chitinophagaceae. The record is from RNAcentral.